RNAcentral lists this non-coding RNA (20 nucleotides) under Arabidopsis thaliana (thale cress). RNAcentral also lists the same sequence under 1 other name. The record is from RNAcentral. Lineage: Eukaryota; Viridiplantae; Streptophyta; Magnoliopsida; Brassicales; Brassicaceae.
GUGCUCACUCUCUUCUGUCA